UACGUAGGGGGCGAGCGUUGUCCGGAGUUACUGGGCGUAAAGGGCGUGCAGGCGGUGCAGUAAGUUUGGAGUGACAGUACCCGGCUCAACUGUGUAAGGCCUUCGAAAACUGCUGGACUUGAGGGCCAGAGAGGGACAUAGAAUUCCGGGUGGAGUGGUGAAAUGCGUAGAUAUCCGGAGGAAUACCAAAGGCGAAGGCAGUGUCCUGGCUGGCAUCUGACGCUGAGGCGCGAAAGCUAGGGGAGCGAACAGG
This 253-nucleotide ribosomal RNA is filed under the name uncultured bacterium. Its description in RNAcentral is "partial 16S ribosomal RNA". It matches the Rfam family "Bacterial small subunit ribosomal RNA", at positions 524 to 776 of the family's 1533-position model. The record is from RNAcentral.